This 206-nucleotide ribosomal RNA is filed under the name uncultured bacterium. RNAcentral describes it as "partial 16S ribosomal RNA". It matches the Rfam family "Bacterial small subunit ribosomal RNA", at positions 568 to 774 of the family's 1533-position model. The record is from RNAcentral.
UGCGUAGGCGGCGCGGUAAGUCGGGUGUGAAAUCUCGGAGCUUAACUCCGAAACUGCAUUCGAUACUGCCGUGCUUGAGGACUGGAGAGGAGACUGGAAUUUACGGUGUAGCGGUGAAAUGCGUGGAUAUCGUAAGGAAGACCAGUGGCGAAGGCGGGUCUCUGGACAGUUCCUGACGCUGAGGCACGAAGGCCAGGGAGCAAACG